Molecule: ribosomal RNA, 407 nt
Filed under: Pseudocrangonyx dunan
Lineage: Eukaryota; Metazoa; Arthropoda; Malacostraca; Amphipoda; Pseudocrangonyctidae
Description: partial 16S ribosomal RNA
Source: RNAcentral
GUAGCAGAAUAGUUUGUUCUUUAAUUGGGAGUUGGUAUGAAAGGUUACACAAAGAGUAUCAUUUUAAAUUAAAUGAAGUAAAUUAAAAUUUAAGUUAAAAUGCUUGAAUAAGAUAAAGGGACGAUAAGACCCUAAAAGCUUUAUUUUAGAUAGUAAUUUUAUGGUGAGCAGAUAUAAGGAAAAUUAGCUGGGGAAGCGGUAUUGAAAAAUUAAUAUAAUAAUAAAUUAUAGUUUAAGUUAAAGGUUCUUUUAUAUAAGAAUUGUUAGAGAGAGUUACUUUAGGGAUAACAGCGCAAUGGUUUUGGAGAGUUCUUAUUUAUAGAAUUAUGUGCGACCUCGAUGUUGAAUUAGGAUUUCUUGAAGGGGCAGAAAACUUACAGGAGGGUUUGUUCAACCUUUAAAUUUUU